GAGUGAGUCAUUUUGGCCACAGUGGAGAACUUGUGAUGGGAUGGUGGGUACAAGGAAAUCAGGCUGUAGCUAGAUCAUGGAUGCCAGGGUGGGGGAAAUUGGCCUUCACCUUAGAGGUGACGGGGACAGGGGGCUCUGACUGUUUCUGAGAAAGAGAAGGCCAUCCUCAGAGCUGGACUAUGCGAAGGUCACUCCGUCAGCUUGAAUAUAGGCAAGAGGCCCAGAGACCUGCUGGAGCCUCUCCGUGGUCUAGGUCAGGGGUGCGGAGGCCCACUCUGGGCAGUGAAAAUGCAGAUGUAAGGAGAUCCCACAGGUAUGAAGGGGGUAGAAUCAACAAGACUUGGCAACUAACUAGAAGGGGCAGGGGUGAGGGAGGACCCAAGCCUGACUCCCAGAUGCCAGCUUGGGCAAUGCGGUGGUUGAAUAGAGGCCAAGGAUGGAGGUGGUGUGGGGAGGAAGAUGGCGGGGGCUGGGGCAGCUCUGAACACACCUUGCCUGAAGAGCCCAUGGGCCACCUGCACCGGCACUUGCCUCUAUAAGUCCGGACUUGGAGAUGGGUCUCGGGAUCGGGAUCGGGGACAGGUAUUUGACAACGUUUAUAGCCCUGAGUUUGGCUGGCUUGUUGAGGAGACAGGCGAAGGAGAGGAGGUGGGGCAGGUAUGCCGGCUGCUGCUCUCUUUGGCCUCAGCCCUGGGACAAGCUUGUCCAUCUCCUCUGCUACCCUCCCCCUCUUCUCCUCAUCUUACUUCCUUCUGGCUCUUACUUAGCUGCGUCAUUUUAGGGAACUUGGAAACCAGGCCUGGUGUCUUUAACUUACAAAAUUAUACACUCCAAUGAGCCGGAAAGGGGCUUUUGGAAUAAUUCUAUUGAAAAUAUGUGGGUUUUCGCCUUGAAAUGAUCUUCCUGAAAUUAUCCCCUUUCUCUCUUUAUAAAUAUUAAAAAGAAGGAAUCUGAGCUUACUGCUUUAAAUCUCUAUUCAGGGACUUUUUCUUCUGCCUCCCAGGAAAGCAACCAGUCAUUUCUGAGGAAGAAAAGGACGAGGCUGGCGCCGUUUCCUUUAACAUAUCAAUCCCACCCCGCUUCUGAAAUCCACUUUCGGGAAUACCCCUGACCAAUCCCUCCUUGUUCCCCCCUACAGCUAAGCCGGGAUUUGCUGGAAUAUUGUGUGUCAGUGUGGGGGUGUGACAGAGGAGCCACUCCAGGAAGGGUGGCAAGGGGAAGGUGAGGAAGGCUAGAGAGACAGGCAGAGAGAGAAGGGGAGAAGCAGCGACAGGGAUGAAGGGGAGACAGAGACAGCAACAGCGACAGAGAGACAGAAACGAGAGAUAUGCAGAGAGAUACGAAGAGACAGAGAAAGAGACAGAGGGACAGAAAGAGAGAGAAAAACAGAGAGGAAGACAGAAAGAGACAGAGAAGCAGAAAGAGACAGAGACAAGGACAAAGGGAGGGAGAUAGAGUGACAGAGGGAUGGAGAGAGGCAGGGAGAAAGAGAGAGAGAGAGAGAGAGAAAGAGGGAGAGAGAGAGACAAGGCACAUACACACCCACACACACCCAGAAAGAGAGGCAGGAGGGAAAGCAAGGGAGGAUAGAGCAGAGACAGAGGGAGAGGGAGAUAAUGCUAGGGAGAAAGGGAGAGAUGUGUAAGAAUAGAGAGGGAGAGAUGGGCUGGGGGAAGAGACAUGGAGACACUGAAACCCUGGAUACUGAGGAUUAAAGGAGAGACAGAAUAUUGUGGGGGGAGAGGUGGGAGGGAGAGACAGAGAGAGAGAGAGAGAGAGAGAGACAGAACAAGCAUGCUGAGGAGAGAGAAAGUAGCACACAGAUGCAGAGAGACAAAAAGGGAAGACAUAGGAAUAGAGAAAUGGGGAGGGCUGGGGAAGAGACAGAGCUAGAGGCAGAAAAUGAUAGAGAGAGAGAGGCCCACAGAAUGGAGACGAUGCAGAUUGACAGAUGGGGUAGAAAAGAGCCAGAUAAAUUGCAAGUCAGGAAGGAGGCAGGGGAGAGAGGCUGACACGGAGGGGUGGAUGAGGAGACCUGGUGGGCUCUGCAGCCUGCGUGCAGGUGCGAGUGUGUGGCUUGUGAGCACAAUGGCCUCCAAUGGAGGGAAGCCCCUUGUUCCCAGCCCGGUCCCUCUGCUGCCUUCCUCAGUGCCUGAGAGUGGGGUGAAGCAUUGCCUGCCUUUGAUGCACAGAGGGUGGGGCAGAGCAGACCAGUUAACAGAGUGUGGUUUAGAAGACAGGCAACCCCGAGUUCAAGCAUCAGCUCUGCCAAUCCCUGCCAACCCCCUUGGGGCCCUUACUCAGUCUUUUGGAGCCUUGGCUUUCUUGUCUGGAAAAUGGGGCUAACAAUGCCUAUCUACAUCAUAGGGUCGCCACGGUGCCUACAGGAGGCCUCACUGCAAAGGGCUUGGCACAGCACCUGAGUCAGCUGCUAUGGUCCAACCUGGAGUGUAGGGUGGACUGUAGUCCUUCUGUGAUCUCAUAAUCCACCAGCAGACCCCUGCUGUGUACCCCUCUGUGUACUCCUGCUGUGUACCUGGAGACCCCCAGGUCUCCAGGGGUCAAACCACACCCCACAGGCACCUUGGAAGAAGAAAUCCACAGGAGGAAAAAAAGAAUUUUUUUCAGUGCAGGGUUGGAGGCCAGAGCAGAGAUGGCCACUUUUUCCCAUGGCUGAGUCUAUGCCAGACAUUGCUCAUCAAUUGCCCUUCCCCACGGAGCUUGGAUGAGCCCCAAGAAGUCUUUUCAACACCGUGCUCUGGGUAUCUACUGCCAAUUGCAUUUGGCAUGCAAAGUGAGACCUGCUUCCCGUCCUGAGAGAAGAUCAUCUCUGAGGCACCAAUAUGAAGUGGGGAUGCAAUAAAUAUUUUUUGGAUGAA
Molecule: long non-coding RNA, 2879 nt
Organism: Pan troglodytes (chimpanzee)
Lineage: Eukaryota; Metazoa; Chordata; Mammalia; Primates; Hominidae
Exons: 2
Source: RefSeq, a predicted model, not a curated record